Long non-coding RNA from Ooceraea biroi (clonal raider ant), 1751 nucleotides. RefSeq lists it as uncharacterized. NCBI's taxonomy places the organism in Eukaryota, Metazoa, Arthropoda, Insecta, Hymenoptera, Formicidae. The record is from RefSeq and is a predicted model, not a curated record.
GUAAAAAGGCUCUCGUAUUCCGGGUCGACGUGCGGGGAAUCCACCCCUAGAUCAUGCGAAUAGUGAAGCCGGUUAGUUGCCCCCAAGUAUUGUAACAAUUGAAUUCAUGCGCGUUUCUUCAUUCCCCCCCCCUGCGAUUUCGUUUCAUGGAAAUGGGUGUGAAUCGAAACAAGAACGAGAGUGCGGAAGAACGCUGCUUCAAGUUCUCAGCUUACUGAGUGAACAGGCUGGUGCGGAAGAACACUGCUCGUGCCCUUAUCACUCUGAAGCGUAUUCGAAUCAAACCCAGAAGGAAUAAACGGAGUGCGCAAAAGUGUCAAAGAAAACAUUUGAUUUAAAAGUUCACAUAUAUAUAUAUAUAUAUAUAUAUAUAUAUAUUGUUAAAGUGAAAAUUAUUACAGGUGUUUGACAUAAGAAUACGAGAGUCUUGGCGUUUGUAAAAUAAAAGUCACGGUUUGAGUUUUACCUUAAGUUUUAACGAAGUAAUCGCCCGGUUAAGCUAUACCCAAGACUACUAAACGAAACGCACUAUCGAAAAAUGAUACUUAUACUUAUUACUUAUUACUUAUUACUUAUUACUGAGCUCCCUGGACUUCUGCAGGCCCUUUUAUAUUGUGGACGAAGAGGCGGGUGGUUGAAAAUAUCGAUGGUGGGACUGAUUUUCCACCAAUAAUGUUUAGGAAAAUCGGGCCCGCGUCUUCGUUUCAACGGUUAUCUCGAUUCUAUGGAGGGAGGUCCUUCGCGUAAACAUCCCCGUACAGAACCUUAAUACCUGAGUUAAUUAAUUACGUUGUUCGCCUUAUGAUUACAAUAUUUCCCUCUCGAUAUUAAUGUCCUGAUUGCAAAAUGGAUCUUCUAGGAUUUUGAAUGGUUGUUGUAUCUGUUUUUAAUCAAAAGAUAUGUAUAUGAAAAGAAAUAAUGCUUGUUUUAAAAGCUGCAAUCGUAUUAAAUUCCGUCUAUAUGAUCAUUUGCGUUCAAGAAAAUAAUAAUAUAAAAUUUCCUAAAUUAUAAAAUAACUAUAUAUAUAAUAUGAUAUAAUAUAGUUUUUGAAGGUUUUCGAAAGUGCUAGAAGGUUCUAGAAAGAUGCUGGUAUGCGCGGAUGUUUACACAUUUUAUUGCCAGGCUCGCGAUAGCGCUCGCUACGGCUAGCAGGCUUGACUGCCGGAGCCUUCGAAGAUCGUUCGAGAACCUUAUAUCGUAACAGUAUAUACAUUCAUCCGUACAUACAUACAUACAUACAUUUAUACCGUUGCUGUAUCCUUUUUCAGAUCAUAGAUCCAAUAAAUAUUGACAUCGAGGGAUAUGUAAACAUCCAACAGAGGAGAUGGAUUAGGUGGGUGCGCAAGGAGAGGAAGCAGUACGCCAAUUACUUUAAUAACAUGUUGGAAGAAUUCCUCGAGGGUGAGGACAUAUUCGACCUAAGAAAGCUGUUCGGGAUGGAGGAGUGGGAGCAGGAGGAGGAAUGAGUGGAAUGGUUGGAACAAAAUUGGGAUGGUGACAUCGAUGCUAUAUUGAAGACACUGGGGGAGGAAGUACAAUCAGGAUUGAGGAUCGAGGAGGAGGAGGAGGAUGAUGAUAUAAAAAUUGUAUUUGAGAGAAAGAGGCUUCGGAGGGACGACGACGAUGACGAGGAUGUCGUAUUCCUCUGUGAACGCAAACGCGUGAGGUUUGCUGAGGAAGACGACGAGGAGAGUGACAAGGAGAGCGAAGAGGAGAGCGAGGAAAGUGACGAGGAGGACGAGGAGGAUGAA